This 73-nucleotide transfer RNA is filed under the name Fasciola hepatica (liver fluke). It matches the Rfam family "tRNA". Rfam says of the family: Transfer RNA (tRNA) molecules are approximately 80 nucleotides in length. Their secondary structure includes four short double-helical elements and three loops (D, anti-codon, and T loops). Lineage: Eukaryota; Metazoa; Platyhelminthes; Trematoda; Plagiorchiida; Fasciolidae. The record is from Rfam by way of RNAcentral.
GUCGCGAUAGCUUGGCCGGUAGAGCAUCUGCCCGGUAUGCAGACGGUCACCGGUUAGAUUCCGGCUCGCGGCG